RNAcentral lists this long non-coding RNA (1111 nucleotides) under Mytilus galloprovincialis (Mediterranean mussel). The record is from RNAcentral. Lineage: Eukaryota; Metazoa; Mollusca; Bivalvia; Mytilida; Mytilidae.
UUUGGUCCAACAGAUGGGUAUAGGGGUCUUAAUACUCUUUUGGAUUCUAAGUUGGUUUGUAAGGCUCAUUGGUCCACAGGCAACUGUGAUCCACUCUUCAAGUCAAGGGGUCUUUUAUAUUAUAUUUUAUUUGAUAAAAAUAUAAGCACCACCAAAAACAAACUUUGCAUCUCUUGAGGUAGCUUCCCUCCCAAUGGUCCAAAGUAUUGGUAGUGGGUCUAAAAUAGUCUAUGGAGUUCUUAUUUGGUUUGUAAGGCCUGUUGGUCCAAAAGCAACUGUGGUCCAAUAUGCAUUAGUCCAGGGAUCUCAGGGUAUAUUUCACUAAAGAAAAAUAUAAGCACCACCAAAAAGAAACUUAGCACCACAGAAGGUAGCUUCCCUUCCUUUGGUCCAACAGAUGGGUAUAGGGGUCUUAAUACUCCUUUGGAUUCUAAGUUGGUUUGUAAGGCUCAUUGGUCCACAGGCAACUGUGAUCCACUCUUCAAGUCAAGGGGUCUUUUAUAUUAUAUUUUAUUUGAUAAAAAUAUAAGCACCACCAAAAAAAAACUUUGCAUCUCUUGAGGUAGCUUCCCUCCCAAUGGUCCAAAGGAUGGGUAGUGGGUCUAAAAUAGUCUUUGGGGUUCUUAGUUGGUUUGUAAGGCCUGUUGGUCUAAAAGCAACUGUGGUCCAAUCUACAUUAGUCUAGGGGUCUCUGGGUUUAUUUUACUGAAGAAAAAUAUAAGCACCACCAAAAAGAAAUGUAGCACCACAGGAGGUUACUUCCCUCAAUUUGGUCCAACAGAUGGGUAUAGGGGUCUAAAUACUCUUAGGGGUACUAAGUUGGUUUGUAAGGCUCAUUGGUCAACAGGCAACUGUGGUCUAAUCUUUUAGUUAAGGGUUCUCAUAGGGUAUAUUUCAUUAAAGAAAAAUAUAAGCACCAAGAAAAACAAACUAAGAACCAUGGGAGGUAGCUUUCCUCUCGUUGGCCCAACAGACAGAUUUAGGGGUCUAACACAUUCUUUGGGUCUAAGAUGAUUUGAAAAGCUCAUGUGGUUCAAUCUUCUAGUCCAGAGGUCUGUUGUAGUAUAUUUCAUUUAAGAAAUAUAAGCACCAUCAGGCACGAACUAAGCAC